GACGAACGCUGGCGGCGUGCUUAACACAUGCAAGUCGAACGGAAAGGCCCUGCUUUUGUGGGGUGCUCGAGUGGCGAACGGGUGAGUAACACGUGAGUAACCUGCCCUUGACUUUGGGAUAACUUCAGGAAACUGGGGCUAAUACCGGAUAGGAGCUCCUGCUGCAUGUUGGGGGUUGGAAAGUUUCGGCGGUUGGGGAUGGACUCGCGGCUUAUCAGCUUGUUGGUGGGGUAGUGGCUUACCAAGGCUUUGACGGGUAGCCGGCCUGAGAGGGUGACCGGCCACAUUGGGACUGAGAUACGGCCCAGACUCCUACGGGAGGCAGCAGGGGGGAAUAUUGCACAAUGGGCGGAAGCCUGAUGCAGCAACGCCGCGUGCGGGAUGACGGCCUUCGGGUUGUAAACCGCUUUCGCCUGUGACGAAGCGGGAGUGACGGUAAUGGGUAAAGAAGCACCGGCUAACUACGUG
Molecule: ribosomal RNA, 468 nt
Filed under: uncultured bacterium
Lineage: Bacteria
Description: partial 16S ribosomal RNA
Rfam family: Bacterial small subunit ribosomal RNA
Source: RNAcentral